CCUANGGGGGGCUGCAGUGAGGAAUAUUGCGCAAUGGCCGAAAGGCUGACGCAGCGACGCCGCGUGAAGGAUGAAGUCCGUUAGGACGUAAACUUCUUUUGCAGGGGAUGAAUGUGGCGCCUCGAGCGCCAUUGACCGUACCCUGCGAAUAAGGAUCGGCCAACUACGUGCCAGCAGCCGCGGUAAUACGUAGGAUCCGAGCGUUGUCCGGAAUUACUGGGUGUAAAGGGCGUGUAGGUGGGUCUUCAAGUCGGUGGUGAAAUGCUGCAGCUCAACUGCAGAACUGCCUCCGAUACUGUUGAUCUUGAGUACGGCAGAGGGAAACGGAAUUCAUGGUGUAGCGGUGAAAUGUGUAGAUAUCAUGAAGAACACCGGUUGCGAAGGCGGUUUCCUGGUCCGUUACUGACACUGAGGCGCGAAAGCGUGGGGAGCAAACAGGAUUAGAUACCCCANUANUC
This 458-nucleotide ribosomal RNA is filed under the name uncultured bacterium. RNAcentral describes it as "bacterial SSU rRNA". It matches the Rfam family "Bacterial small subunit ribosomal RNA", at positions 338 to 795 of the family's 1533-position model. The record is from RNAcentral.